UCUUCAUGGAUUCAAAACUGGAACAGAUUCAGCUAGUGGUACGCGUUCUGCCAUUUCUGCCCUCAUCUGCCUCCUCUGCCCAUCUGUCUGUUUUGCCAGAUCCGUAGAAAGUCACGCCCAGGGACGAGAGAAGAACGCCCUUCAUGAGCGCUAGCUGUGCUUUCCUAGCAAACAGGAGACAAAAGCUCCCCACACCAAUGCUCACCUCCUCAGGGUAGCUCUCUUCUCAGUGGAAGAUAGGACGGCAAGGAGAGUGGCCACAAACAUCUUCCCUAAAUCCAGGACUUGAUCUAAUUCCCUGUUUUAAUACUACUGUUAGAAAGGAAAAGCAAAGCUGGGUAUUAAAGAACUGUCAGCAGAGAAAUGGGUUAAAUGAUGCUGUAAUUGUGUAAAUGCAGAUGGAUGAUAACUGAACCUGUUUAUAAACUGCAGCAACUCUCUAUUGCCUAGAGAUGACUUCAUGCCUGAAGAACUCUUGUAAUCUUUUUCAAUCAAUGCCUUUAUUUUUCUCUCACGUAAAUGUCAUGUAAGGACAUAUACUACAUUAUAUGAAUGUCAAAGAUAACUGCCCGGCAAUUGUGCUUUCCUUUUACUUCCAUUUUCCCUUAAAAGUGAGCCCUUCCUUUUUGCUGCAUGUGAACAAAAAUAGGAUUUGAUGACAAAAAUCUCAUCCCCAAUCAAGUCUUUUUUCCAGUGAAAUUUCCACAAGAGACGUUAAGCAGCCACACGAGCGCAGCUCUUCGCUGUGACGAUCACACAGGAGAAUAAUGAAGAUUAAUCAUCACUGUAUCAGAAGGUCUCAGUCUCCUGGUAAGAAAGGAAGUAUAAAGGAGAAAGAAUCACUCUGUGUUGGGCCUUCUCUUGUACUCUUCCUUAUGCAUCUCUUACUGACCAACGUCAGAGGCAGGAUAUUGGGCUAAGCAGAUAGUCAUUCUAGCAAAGUAAAUGAAGAAGAUUUUAGUGACACCAAGUGCAAGUGUGUGUGUGGUGGAGAAUCUUUCAGCUGUCCAAGAUCUGGUGAUCUGAAACUGUGAAACUGUUAAAAGGUAGGCCAAAGUAAC
Molecule: long non-coding RNA, 1061 nt
Filed under: Struthio camelus australis
Lineage: Eukaryota; Metazoa; Chordata; Aves; Struthioniformes; Struthionidae
Description: lncRNA (ENSSCUG00000013620.1)
Source: RNAcentral